UCUAAUAUGGCAGAACUAAUGCAAUGGAUUUAAACCCCAUUUAUAAAGAUUAUAUCUUUUUUUAGAA
Molecule: transfer RNA, 67 nt
Filed under: Apsilochorema hwangi
Lineage: Eukaryota; Metazoa; Arthropoda; Insecta; Trichoptera; Hydrobiosidae
Also listed under: 1 other name
Description: tRNA-Leu
Rfam family: tRNA
About the family: Transfer RNA (tRNA) molecules are approximately 80 nucleotides in length. Their secondary structure includes four short double-helical elements and three loops (D, anti-codon, and T loops).
Source: RNAcentral